This 406-nucleotide ribosomal RNA is filed under the name uncultured bacterium. RNAcentral describes it as "partial 16S ribosomal RNA". It matches the Rfam family "Bacterial small subunit ribosomal RNA", at positions 28 to 526 of the family's 1533-position model. The record is from RNAcentral.
GAUGAACGCUGACAGAAUGCUUAACACAUCAGCAAUUGAUUGGUGGCGGACGGGUGAGUAACGCGUAAAGAACUUGCCUCCCAGGUAGGGACAACAUUUGGAAACGAAUGCUAAUACCUAAUACUGUGAGAGAGCUUUGCGUCCCAUUAGCUAGUUGGAGAGGUAACGGCUCACCAAGGCGAUGAUGGUUAGCCGGCCUGAGAGGGUGAUCGGCCACAAGGGGACGGAGACACGGCCCUUACUCCUACGGGAGGCAGCAGUGGUGAAUAUUGGACAAUGUACCAAAGCUUGAUGAAGCAAUUAUGUGUGUGCUAUGAAUUUGUCGGAAUGUAAAGUGCUUUCAGUGAGGAAGCGGUACCAACAGAAGAAGUGACGUCUAAAUAUGUUCCAGCAGCCUCGGUAAUAC